UACGUAGGGGGCAAGCGUUGUCCGGAUUCAUUGGGCGUAAAGAGCUCGUAGGCGGCUUGGCAAGUCGGGUGUGAAACCUCCAGGCUCAACCUGGAGACGCCACCCGAUACUGCCAUGGCUAGAGUCCGGUAGGGGACCACGGAAUUCCUGGUGUAGCGGUGAAAUGCGUAGAUAUCGGAAGGAACACCGGUGGCGAAAGCGGCGCGCUGGACCUCUUCUGACGCUGAGGCGCGAAAGCCAGGGGAGCGAACGGG
Molecule: ribosomal RNA, 254 nt
Filed under: uncultured bacterium
Lineage: Bacteria
Description: partial 16S ribosomal RNA
Rfam family: Bacterial small subunit ribosomal RNA
Source: RNAcentral